This 887-nucleotide ribosomal RNA is filed under the name Pithomyces flavus. RNAcentral describes it as "partial large subunit ribosomal RNA". It matches the Rfam family "Eukaryotic large subunit ribosomal RNA", at positions 35 to 940 of the family's 3401-position model. The record is from RNAcentral. Lineage: Eukaryota; Fungi; Ascomycota; Dothideomycetes; Pleosporales; Astrosphaeriellaceae.
UAAGCAUAUCAAUAAGCGGAGGAAAAGAAACCAACAGGGAUUGCCUCAGUAACGGCGAGUGAAGCGGCAAUAGCUCAAAUUUGAAAUCUGGCUCUUCUCAGGGCCCGAGUUGUAAUUUGUAGAGGAUGCUUCGGCGUUGGCUCUGGCCUAAGUUCCUUGGAACAGGAUGUCGCAGAGGGUGAGAAUCCCGUAUGUGGCCGCUGGCCUUCGCCAUGUGAAGCCCCUUCGACGAGUCGAGUUGUUUGGGAAUGCAGCUCUAAAUGGGAGGUAAAUUUCUUCUAAAGCUAAAUACCGGCCAGAGACCGAUAGCGCACAAGUAGAGUGAUCGAAAGAUGAAAAGCACUUUGGAAAGAGAGUCAAAAAGCACGUGAAAUUGUUGAAAGGGAAGCGCUUGCAGCCAGACUUGCCCACGGUCGCUCAUCCAGGCCUACGCCUGGUGCACUCUUCCGUGGGCAGGCCAGCAUCAGUUCGGGCGGUUGGAUAAAGGUCCCGGGAAUGUGGCUCCCUUCGGGGAGUGUUAUAGCCCGAGGCGUAAUGCAGCCAGCCUGGACUGAGGCCCGCGCUCUUGCUAGGAUGCUGGCAUAAUGGCCGCAAGCGGCCCGUCUUGAAACACGGACCAAGGAGUCUAACAUCUGUGCGAGUGUUUGGGUGUCAAGCCCAGGCGCGCAAUGAAAGUGAAUGGAGGUGGGAACCCUCUGGGUGCACCAUCGACCGAUCCUGAUGUCUUCAGAUGGAUUUGAGUAAGAGCAUAGCUGUUGGGACCCGAAAGAUGGUGAACUAUGCCUGAAUAGGGUGAAGCCAGAGGAAACUCUGGUGGAGGCUCGCAGCGGUUCUGACGUGCAAAUCGAUCGUCAAAUUUGGGCAUAGGGGCGAAAGACUAAUCGAAC